CAUAAUAAUCAGCAGUCUGAGCACAGUAUCAGCCUCAUCCAUAUUCUUGCGUUCUAUUAAUUAUUAACAGACUUUUGUGGCGAAUCUCUUAUUCACUGCUGUACCAUCUGCAUGUUCCUUUCUGAAAUAAAAAGCUUCUGCUUUUAUCUGGCUGUUUUGGCCUUUGUCUGGCAGACCUGAGGUCAGCCACUGCCCAGCAGCAGCAGCCAUGGGCCUAGGCCCAUCUGGCACCCCCAGUUUCUCCAGCUGCGUUCUUCCACCCAUAUCUCCUGCAUUUCCUUGGCCCUUCUCUCUUUCAGAAGAGAGGCAAAACUCUGCAGUGUGCACAGGUUAUUGGGUAUCUUUUUGGAGAGUCUUCUUCAUUUCCCAGUGUCACUUCCCAAUGUCCUAGACCUCAGGCUUUGACCAGCGGUUGCAGCACAAUGUAAUUCCACCAGCACGGUUCCGUCCAGCAGCCUGCGGCCACUGGGAAUCCAUUAUUUUGUGACGCUUCAGUAUAAAACGCGUCCUGCUUGUGGGGAACAACGCGUGCCAUCAGGAACGCAGGACUCAUCACCCCACCGGCAGGGUGUCGGGCAGGGCAGGGCAACGCGAGCACAAAACCCUGGCCCGCGGGACGGGGCCCCGUGCCCGGCCCGACCUCAGCCCCCUCGCCCCCUCGGGGUGCCCGGCACGGGGGAGCCUCAGGGGGCGGGCGGCCAGGCCGGGUUCCGCGGGGGAACGGAAAGCCACGGCCCGGGUUUCCCGGCGUCCCGGCGGCCGGGAGCCAUCCGGGGGGAAGCGUUUUGGCGACGGCCGCCGCGGGCGGGCUGAGGAAGGCGGCGGUGCGGUGGCUGCUACUUCAGGGACCUGUGGGAUUUAAGAAUAUCUCUCCUCUAAGAAAAUUUGCUGCUUCUACAGCCUUCCAUCUUAGUGGGCAAUUGAUGAUUUCACUUGAAAUACUUAUCUGAAGAAAUUAACAGUAGGCAAGGUGUAAUUGCUUUUUAAAAAUGUUAAAAGUACAGCAGUGUGUAACAGCUAACAGGAUACCCAAGAAAAAGCCAUAUAUUUGUGACACUUGCUAUAAACAGUUUGAAACUCCAUCAAAAUUAGCUAGGCAUUAUCUGAUACAUACUGGUCAAAA
Molecule: long non-coding RNA, 1123 nt
Filed under: Anas platyrhynchos platyrhynchos (common mallard)
Lineage: Eukaryota; Metazoa; Chordata; Aves; Anseriformes; Anatidae
Description: lncRNA (ENSAPLG00000026121.1)
Source: RNAcentral